RNAcentral lists this ribosomal RNA (492 nucleotides) under Bacillus subtilis. RNAcentral's name for it is "bacterial SSU rRNA". It matches the Rfam family "Bacterial small subunit ribosomal RNA", at positions 564 to 1053 of the family's 1533-position model. The record is from RNAcentral. Lineage: Bacteria; Bacillati; Bacillota; Bacilli; Caryophanales; Bacillaceae.
AGGGCUCCGCAGGCGGUUUUUUAAGUCUGAUGUGAAAGCCCCCGGCUCAACCGGGGAGGGUCAUUGGAAACUGGGGAACUUGAGUGCAGAAGAGGAGAGUGGAAUUCCACGUGUAGCGGUGAAAUGCGUAGAGAUGUGGAGGAACACCAGUGGCGAAGGCGACUCUCUGGUCUGUAACUGACGCUGAGGAGCGAAAGCGUGGGGAGCGAACAGGAUUAGAUACCCUGGUAGUCCACGCCGUAAACGAUGAGUGCUAAGUGUUAGGGGGUUUCCGCCCCUUAGUGCUGCAGCUAACGCAUUAAGCACUCCGCCUGGGGAGUACGGUCGCAAGACUGAAACUCAAAGGAAUUGACGGGGGCCCGCACAAGCGGUGGAGCAUGUGGUUUAUUUCGAAGCAACGCAAAGAACCUUACCAGGUCUUGACAUCCUCUGACGAUCCUAGAGAUAGGACGUCCCCUUCGGGCCCAGAGUGACAGGUGGUGCAUGGUUGUC